RNAcentral lists this ribosomal RNA (460 nucleotides) under uncultured bacterium. RNAcentral describes it as "partial 16S ribosomal RNA". It matches the Rfam family "Bacterial small subunit ribosomal RNA", at positions 337 to 795 of the family's 1533-position model. The record is from RNAcentral.
ACUACGUGUGGCAGCAGUGAGGAAUAUUGGUCAAUGGACGCAAGUCUGAACCAGCCAUGCCGCGUGCAGGAAGACGGCUCUAUGAGUUGUAAACUGCUUUUGUACGAGGGUAAACGCAGAUACGCGUACCUGUCUGAAAGUAUCGUACGAAUAAGGAUCGGCUAACUCCGUGCCAGCAGCCGCGGUAAUAUGGAGGAUUCAAGCGUUAUCCGGAUUUAUUGGGUUUAAAGGGUGCGUAGGCGGUUGGAUAAGUAAGCGGUGAAAGCCCGAGGCUCAACUGCGGAAUUGCCGUUGAUACUGGUCGGCUAGAGAGUAGUUGCGGUAGGCGGAAUGUAUGGUGUAGCGGUGAAAUGCUUAGAGAGCAUACAGAACACCGAUUGCGAAGGCAGCUUACCGAGCUACUUCUGACGUUGAGGCACGAAAGCGUGGGGAGCAAACAGGACUAGAUACCCCUGUAGUC